GAGUUUGAUUAUGGCUCAGGACAAACGCUGGCGGCGUGCAUAACACAUGCAAGUCGAACGAAAUCUACAUGAUUUAGUGGCGAACGGGUGAGUAACACGUGAGAAACCUGCCUUACACAGAGGGAUAGCCGUUGGAAACGACGAUUAAUACCUCAUGACACCGUGACAUCGCAUGAUGAUGCGGUCAAAGAUUUAUCGGUGUAAGAUGGUCUCGCGCCUGAUUAGCUGGUUGGUGGGGUAACGGCCUACCAAGGCGACGAUCAGUAGCCGAUCUGAGAGGGUGGACGGCCACAUUGGGACUGAGACACGGCCCAAACUCCUACGGGAGGCAGCAGUGGGGAAUUUUGCACAAUGGGGGAAACCCCUGAUGCAGCGACGCCGCGUGAACGAAGAAGGCCUUCGGGUUGUAAAGUUCUGUCCCUUGGUGAAGAUAAUGACCGUACCAANAGAAGCC
RNAcentral lists this ribosomal RNA (454 nucleotides) under Helcococcus sp. canine oral taxon 069. RNAcentral's name for it is "bacterial SSU rRNA". It matches the Rfam family "Bacterial small subunit ribosomal RNA", at positions 9 to 492 of the family's 1533-position model. Lineage: Bacteria; Bacillati; Bacillota; Tissierellia; Tissierellales; Peptoniphilaceae. The record is from RNAcentral.